CCUGCCCUUCAGAGGGGGACAACAGUUGGAAACGACUGCUAAUACCGCAUACGAUCCAAUCUCGGCAUCGAGACUGGGUGAAAGGUGGCCUCUAUUUAUAAGCUAUCACUGAAGGAGGGGAUUGCGUCUGAUUAGCUAGUUGGAGGGGUAACGGCCCACCAAGGCGAUGAUCAGUAGCCGGUCUGAGAGGAUGAACGGCCACAUUGGGACUGAGACACGGCCCAG
This 225-nucleotide ribosomal RNA is filed under the name uncultured bacterium. RNAcentral describes it as "partial 16S ribosomal RNA". It matches the Rfam family "Bacterial small subunit ribosomal RNA", at positions 125 to 334 of the family's 1533-position model. The record is from RNAcentral.